UACGAGGGGUCCUAGCGUUGUUCGGAAUUAUUGGGCGUAAAGAGUCUGUAGGCGGUUUUGUAAGUCAGGUGUGAAAGCCCCGGGCUCAACCCGGGAAGUGCAUCUGAUACUGCUUAACUUGAAUGUUGGAGAGGGUAGUGGAAUUCCUGGUGUAGUGGUGAAAUACGUAGAUAUCAGGAGGAACACCGGUGGCGAAGGCGGUUCUCUGGGCAUGUCCUGACGCUGAGGAGCGAAAGUGUGGGGAGCGAACAGG
Molecule: ribosomal RNA, 253 nt
Filed under: uncultured bacterium
Lineage: Bacteria
Description: partial 16S ribosomal RNA
Rfam family: Bacterial small subunit ribosomal RNA
Source: RNAcentral